Molecule: long non-coding RNA, 363 nt
Organism: Capra hircus (goat)
Lineage: Eukaryota; Metazoa; Chordata; Mammalia; Artiodactyla; Bovidae
Exons: 4
Source: RefSeq, a predicted model, not a curated record
CCCAGACUACAGUGGAAUGAUCCAGGUAGAGACUGCAUUGGCCUGCAUGGAAGAGAGAUUUUCCCAUUUUACUCUAUAACACUGGGAUCAACAUUCAUUAGCUCAGAAGGAUCUAGGUUCAGGCAUGCUGGCAAGGCAUCAAUAUAAGAGAGAAAAGGCCAUGUGAGGACAUGGAAAAACUGUUGUCUGCAAGUGGAGGAAUUUCACAAGUUACCAACCCCGAUGGCAGCUUGAUUGUGGACAUCCAGACUCCCGAACUGAUUGACUGGUUUGAUCUCCUUGCAACUCAAAGGACUCAAGAGUUUCCCCUCAGUUCCACAGUAAGAAAGCAUCAGUUCUUUGGCAUUCAGCCUUCUUUAUGGU